This 330-nucleotide unclassified non-coding RNA is filed under the name soil metagenome. RNAcentral's name for it is "partial contains 5.8S ribosomal RNA, internal transcribed spacer 2, and large subunit ribosomal RNA". The stretch from base 1 to 120 matches the Rfam family "5.8S ribosomal RNA", at positions 35 to 154 of the family's 154-position model. The record is from RNAcentral.
GAUGAAGAACGCAGCGAAAUGCGAUAAGUAAUGCGAAUUGCAGAAUUCAGUGAGUCAUCGAAUCUUUGAACGCACAUUGCGCCCUGUGGUAUUCCGCAGGGCAUGCCUGUUCGAGCGUCAUUUCAACCCUCAAGCUCUGCUUGGUGUUGGGCCCUGCCCGCUCGCGGCCGGCCCUAAAGACAGUGGCGGUGCCGUCUGGCUCUAAGCGUAGUAAUUCUUCUCGCUAUGGAGUCCUGGUGGACGCUUGCCAUCAACCCCCAAUUUUUCUAUGGUUGACCUCGGAUCAGGUAGGGAUACCCGCUGAACUUAAGCAUAUCAAUAAGCGGAGGA